UCUUUUAUUUAUCCAUGAUUUCCAAGAGAUCUAGCUUUCUGCUCUCCUGCUUUUCCCCCUCAUCCACCCCUUCCUUUCUUUGUAAGGGGGUUAUAUAUGAGAGUUUGUUGAAGAAGUCCAGUGAGGCUGAUGUUAAGAAAGGGUGGUUAACUAAAGAGCACUUUAUUUCUUUGAAGUUUUUUGUAAGAAAUGGGGGUAUGAGUGGCUUGAAUCCCCCAUUGUGUUGGAGGGCAGUUAGUGGGGUUGAAGUAUGACAUAAUAUUUCCCAUUGGGGAAAGGAUAAUUUCUCUUAGAGGGUGGUAAAAUGCCUUUGCCCUGUGUCCUCUUCCUUAUUCCUUCCAAUCAGGGUGCCUCCUACACACAACUUCCCAUUUGUUCUCCUCAAGAUUUCCCCUCUACAAAUCAUCACUUCUCUUUUCUAAACUCCUUUUCUACUCAGAUCCAUACAGGAUUUGCAAAGGUAGACUAAAUCAUACAUGUAAAUGUUCCUUUUUGUAAUUCCAUGUCUUCUGAAAACUAGUCUCGUUAAGAACCCUGGUGGGAGUCAGAGUAACUGAAGUUUGGGGCUAGAGCUGGAGAUUGGCUAUCAGACCUUCUGGGAUUUUAGCUCCCCUCCACUAAACUCAGCUUUGGUAAACGGCACAGCACAAACCUGACCUUCUUUGGGCCUCAGUUUCCCCUCCCUUCCAUGAAAUGGAAAGAAAACUACUUUUUCUUGUUGGUCCAGCAUUGUUGGACUUGAAGUAUAGUCAUUGUUGUUGUAUUGGGUGAUGUGUGCAAAACUGCAGGAGCUCACUGCCUACAAGAGGAAAUAGGGAGGAAGUGGAGGAGAGGGACAGAAGGAGCAAUUAUUUGGUAUAGAUCCACCCAUCCCUGCCUUCCUCUCUUCAACCCCCAUGUUUCUGGUUUGGUGAGUCCUUCAUACCACCCAUAAUGCUUUGCAUUGGUGCAGGCUGGGAAGGGGGUGUAUGGUCUCACAAGUUGUUGUUGUUUUUUGCAUGCUUUCUUAAUAAAAAAAAAAGAUGAAUGUUUAUGGUUUUGUCUUA
Molecule: long non-coding RNA, 1046 nt
Filed under: Equus asinus (donkey)
Lineage: Eukaryota; Metazoa; Chordata; Mammalia; Perissodactyla; Equidae
Description: lncRNA (ENSEASG00005028021.1)
Source: RNAcentral